GUUCUUAUCUCCUCCUUCUUCUUCUGUUCUUCUUCGUUUUCUUCUCUGUCGAAUUCAAUUCAAAGGAUUAAGUUAAAUCUCGUGAGUAGUUAUUAGGAAACUUGUUAACUUAGUUGGUUAGAUACGAAGGUGAUGGUGGUGUGUUUGUUUGAGCACGGGAAGAUGAUGAUAGGGUUGCUGCUGUUAAUUGAAGUUGGGGUUUUAGUUUGAGAUGAAGAAAUCAAGAGGAGAUGUUGAAUCAGUUGAGAACCUUGAUGAUUGAUAGAGGUGGUGUUGAUUAGGGUUGAUGUUUCAGAAUCGAGGAAAAAGAUUUACGCGUGGGCGGAUUGGGGGCUCUCCACUGUGUAAGCACUUUGAUCGCAUAUAAUGUUGUUACCAUUAGAUCUCUUUAGAUACUUGAUAUGUAAAGUGCGCGUCGAAUAAGGUACUGGUAAGGUACAUAUAGUUUAUGACUUGAGGAAGGAAACCUCAUGGGCGCUUUAAUGAUCAUUGAAGAAUCCGCAACAGUCAUGCCUUGCUACUCCGAAGGAAGACGUCGCUCAACUACUAUUUAUGUUGUGAAUGUGUACCGGUUUAUUGGUUGGUAGAACUUUAUAAUUUCAGUAUUACUAUUAUAUUAAUAAGCUUUAUAUGUUUUCCGUGUUUUAUCGGUUUUCAGUAAAACCUGCAUUGUCUUUAAAUCAUUCUAGUGAUUACUUGAAAGUUAGUUGUUAUUUCUACGGGGCACCCCUUUUAGGGAUGAUGUGCUCACCCAUUCCCACUUUCAGUUUCAGAAACAUAUCAAGCCGCGUACGUGGCGAUAAAAGCUUCGAGAAGUUGGUUUGGUUUCGUUAGUUGGUUAGCUUCCGCUAUGUUUAUUUUGUGUUUAUAUUCCAUUUGUAAACCAACUCAUUAUUAAAUAUGUAUCACUUGAGAGGAGUUUUUGUAUGUAUUUCAGAGAGGGUUUAGUUUCGGGUUAAUUUUUGUUUAGAAAUUCUUUCUUAAUGUUUAAAUAGAUGUUUUAGAUCGUUA
Long non-coding RNA from Papaver somniferum (opium poppy), 1011 nucleotides. RefSeq lists it as uncharacterized. NCBI's taxonomy places the organism in Eukaryota, Viridiplantae, Streptophyta, Magnoliopsida, Ranunculales, Papaveraceae. The record is from RefSeq and is a predicted model, not a curated record. The transcript is spliced from 2 exons.